Molecule: long non-coding RNA, 1655 nt
Organism: Oncorhynchus nerka (sockeye salmon)
Lineage: Eukaryota; Metazoa; Chordata; Actinopteri; Salmoniformes; Salmonidae
Exons: 2
Source: RefSeq, a predicted model, not a curated record
UUCUGUCUUUAUCGGUCAAAAGGGAGGCUAAUGAAUAUGCAAAUUUUGGUCCAACGUCUCCAGUUGUGGCGGGCAACACCCCCUAGUUAGCAGCCCAUAACGACAAGGGGUCAGAGACACUCUGGUUUCUCAGCAACCUGGAGUCACGGCACUCUACCCCGCCUUCCCACCUGACGGGAACAAAGGAUUAUUCAUGAAAAAUGGAGAAGUACAGUGUACGUCAACCUGCAUCCUUCCCCGCCCACACACUGUGACAGGGCUGAAAUCCACAGCCCAUUCUGCUUGAUUGAUACCAUCAAACUAACCAAGGUCACAGCUUCCACCAAGCAGCCCAGCCGCCACUGCCAGCAGGCAGGCAGCCACCACAUCAUAGAGAUAUACAGGGGGGCAUGAGUGAGAUGGAUGGAGGAAAAGUGGAGCCAGUCGACACCACUAGCUACUUACCUGACUGACUGUCGCUCCUCAAUGUUCAUGAUUCAUUAAGUCAACCACCAGUUUGGGAAAGGUCACCAUGCUGGAGGGGGAAACAACAAGAAAGAAACCUCUCUUCGCUGUUGUGCUUUCUUAGCGUGUGAGACUGUGCACAGUACCUUUUAAACAUUAAUGUAGGAGUAUUCUUAUCUUUGGCAAAUGGCCAAAGAUAAGAUGUAUUGAUUGAUUGAUGUAUUGAUUGUGCUGUCAUCCUGGAAGGCAGGUAGCAUAGCGGUUAAGAAAAAAAAGAAAAACAAUCUGAAAGGUUGCUGGUUUGAAUCCCCCAGCUGACUAGGUGAAAAAUCUGUCAAUGUGCUCUUGAGCAAGGCACUUAACCCUUAUUCCUCUGGAUAAGAGAAUCUGCUAAAAUCUUAUAUUACAUCAUGUGUUGAUCUACAUGAUUUGCUGUAACUUGGUAUCAGAACCUUGUUCCUUAUCAAGCACUUUGCUAAACAGUGUAUCUCUUAUUUAAUUCAUUCUCUCAAGUUCAAACUAAGCACAACAGAAGACCCUGGCACACUGAAAUAAACCAGAUAGAAUUUAACAGCUUAAAUCAUCUUAGAAUCCCAUCCAUCUAGCUCAGCGGCGUGAGGCCUCUGUGAGGUGAUGGUGGACAGGGUCACUGCGGUCAGUCUCUGCUCUAAACACUGCCCUAUUGUUUCUGCUUGUCUUCCGGCCGGCUGUUAGCUCUGGUCUGUGUUUGAUGCAGUCCAGACUCUGCCGUGUGUGGUGGGUGUGCCUCAUACUCAGCCCUGUGACACUAGACACAGACAGACACCAACAAGAAGGAAGGAAGGAAGGAAGUGGAUCUCAGAGUCCACUCAACCACCAGCCAAAUGGCCGUCCAGCAGCCAGCUCACACUAGUCAACAAACAGUUCAAGGGGUUUGUUCUGCUUUCUCAGGCUUCCAGCAGAGGAGAUGGGAGAGUCAACUAAAAUUAAUUCCUGGGUAGCCCUUUCCUGCAGUCAAAUGGCUAGUGGCAUCACGGGUGGAAUAUUUUUUAUAUUUUUUAUAAUUUCAUAAUUAAUAAACUUUUUAUUAUUUUUUAAAUUUUUUUAAUCUGCCUAAAAUCUGGUGAUUCUAUGUCAAACUGUUUUGUUAUAUUUCAGUCUUCUGUGAUGUGUAUAAAGAGUCAUACUGGAAUGGAAAUUCAAAAUGGAAUACAUUUCAACUCAGUAUUUGA